CUGCACUUAAUUUUUACCCUAUUAGCAGCUAGGAACUGUAUGUCACGUGGGGGGGGGAAGAAAAGACUUCAGGGGCUUUCCAGCUGUUGAAAACAGAUGGCUGUAAACAAAAGACUUAGGAGCUAAUACUUAUAUUUCCAAAAGCCUUUGCUUUGUUCAGGUCACAGCUCUGCUGCUGCAGUGGGGGGAGAGAUUGCAAAGUGCAGCUCGUUCCCAGUCGGUGCUAAUCUUGGAGAUGAAGAGCACCUUUGUCUGAAGAGUGCCACCAGUGCUGUUUGGAGAUGUUUCGGAAUAUUUAAAAAUAGACAUUUCAGAGCCACGUGUGCUGUCAGCGCAUCCCAAACUUCGCAGCAGGGUUACAGGGACUGCGCCACGUGCUGAGACGGAGGCGAUGCGGGAGUGCAAUGUGGUGCAGUGGGAAAGAAGAGGGGAUGUGCUGUGUGCCACCAGGGCUGUGCCUUCGUGCCUUCCUCCCACGGUGAGUUCACAGAGCGCUGG
This is a long non-coding RNA of Gallus gallus (chicken), 498 nucleotides long. Lineage: Eukaryota; Metazoa; Chordata; Aves; Galliformes; Phasianidae. The record is from Ensembl.